UACAGAGGGGGGCAAGCGUUAUUCGGAAUUAUUGGGCGUAAAGGGCGCGUAGGCGGCUUUGCAAGUGGCGGGUGAAAUCCCUCGGCUUAACCGAGGAACUGCCUGCCAGACUGUGAGGCUUGAGACCGGGAGAGGUGAGUGGAAUUCCCAGUGUAGCGGUGAAAUGCGUAGAUACCAUCCAGAACCCCCGAUUGCGAAGGCAGC
Molecule: ribosomal RNA, 204 nt
Filed under: uncultured bacterium
Lineage: Bacteria
Description: partial 16S ribosomal RNA
Rfam family: Bacterial small subunit ribosomal RNA
Source: RNAcentral